Molecule: ribosomal RNA, 2269 nt
Filed under: Eucorydia tokaraensis
Lineage: Eukaryota; Metazoa; Arthropoda; Insecta; Blattodea; Corydiidae
Description: Eucorydia sp. SFH-2019_01 partial 28S ribosomal RNA
Rfam family: Eukaryotic large subunit ribosomal RNA
Source: RNAcentral
AUUAAUAGGCGGAGGAAAAGAAACUAACCAGGAUUCCCCAAGUAGCGGCGAGCGAACAGGGAGAAGCCCAGCACGGAAUCCCACGCGUUGACGCGUAGGGAGAUGUCGUGUGUGGGAGGUUCCAUCAUCCCGGGGAUCGGCGGCGAGUCCAAGUCUCCCUUGAACGGGGCCACAGCUCGUAGAGGGUGCCAGGCCCGUAGAGACCGCAGCCCUUCCCGGGAGGAGCUCUCCUCAGAGUCGUGUUCCUUGAGAGUGGAGCACCAAGUGGGUGGUAAACUCCAUCUAAGGCUAAAUACGACCACGAGACCGAUAGCGAACAAGUACCGUGAGGGAAAGUUGAAAAGAACUUUGAAGAGAGAGUUCAACAGUACGUGAAACUGUUCAGGGGUAAACGGGAGAGACCCGAAAGAUCUAAGGGGAGACUCAAUCACCCACGCAACGACGGGCCACGGUGCAUUCCGGAUGUCUCCGGCCGCCGGUCAUGCCGCAAGGCGUGCGCCGGUUCGCGUUGGAGGCACCGGUUGUCCGUCGGUAACAUAUCCGUCUGCGGCGGGAUGCAAUUCUUCCCUGGAGACGUCGCGACCCGUUGGAGUGCCGGUCUAAGGCCCGGGAUGGAGCCCGAGGGAAUCGCCGCGGAAACGCGGAUCAACGGUUCCCCGGACCCCGGUCUCCCGGCCGGCGUCCGACGGUAGUCUUACGGAGAAGGCCCGCUCACUCGAGCGAGCGUCUGGCCUGUGGGGCAAGCUCUUCGGUGGCGUCGUGGUGCCGUGGCGUCUGCCACGUCCCCGACCCCCGCGAGGCUGUUGGUCCCCGGUGUCCUCGGACGGUAGCCGUCUCCCGUCAGCGGCGCUUAUGCUUUGGGUGCUCUCCCGACCCGUCUUGAAACACGGACCAAGGAGUCUAACAUGUGCGCGAGUCAAUGGGAUUAACUAAACCCAGAGGCGCAGUGAAAGCGGGGCGGACCCUUCGCGGCCGCCUUGGGAGGAUGGCUCUCCCUCGGGGGAGCCCGCACUCCCGGGGCGCCUCGGCCUAGCCGCAGGCGCACCCUGAGCGUACACGUUGGGACCCGAAAGAUGGUGAACUAUGCCUGGCCAGGACGAAGUCAGGGGAAACCCUGAUGGAGGUCCGCAGCGAUUCUGACGUGCAAAUCGAUCGUCAGAGCUGGGUAUAGGGGCGAAAGACUAAUCGAACCAUCUAGUAGCUGGUUCCCUCCGAAGUUUCCCUCAGGAUAGCUGGCGUCCAUUUGGACUGGGACGAGUCUCAUCCGGUAAAGCGAAUGAUUAGAGGCCUUGGGGCCGAAACGACCUCAACCUAUUCUCAAACUUUAAAUGGGUGAGAUCUCCGGCUUGCUUGAUUGAAGCCGAGAGAGCCACCGGAUCAGGGUGCCAAGUGGGCCAUUUUUGGUAAGCAGAACUGGCGCUGUGGGAUGAACCAAACGUCGGGUUAAGGCGCCUAAACCGGAGCUCAUGGGAAACCAUGAAAGGCGUUGGUUGCUUAAGACAGCAGGACGGUGGCCAUGGAAGUCGGAAGCCGCUAAGGAGUGUGUAACAACUCACCUGCCGAAGCAACUAGCCCUGAAAAUGGAUGGCGCUAAAGCUCCGUGCCUAUACCCGACCGCCGGCAGGCAAGGGCGUCGCGGCUUGUCCGUGGCGCGUGAAGCCCCGGUGAGUAGGAGGGCGCGGCGGUGAGCGCGGAAGGGUCUGGGCGUGAGCCUGCCUGGAGCCGCCGCCGGUGCAGAUCUUGGUGGUAGUAGCAAAUACUCAAGCGAGGGCCUUGAGGGCUGAUGUGGAGAAGGGUUUCGUGUGAACAGCCGUUGCACACGAGUCAGUCGAUCCUAAGCCCUAGGAGAAAUCCGAUGUUGAUGAGGGGUGCUUACUUACGUAACGUACCUCCUUCGGGCGAAAGGGAAUCCGGUUCCUAUUCCGGAACCCGGCAGCGGAACCGAACCGUCGGGCCCUCGCAAGAGAAGCUCGUCGGGGUAACCCAAAAGGACCCGGAGACGCCGUCGGGAGACCCGGGCAGAGUUUUCUGUUCUGCAUAAGCGUUCGAGUUCCCUGGAAUCCUCUAGCAGGGAGAUAGGGUUUGGAACGCGAAGAGCACCGCAGUUGCGGCGGUGUCUGGGUCGUCCCCUCGGACCUUGAAAAUCCGGGAGAGGGCUACGCGGAGGUGUCGCGCCGGCUCGUACCCAUAUCCGCAGCAGGUCUCCAAGGUGAAGAGCCUCUAGUCGAUAGACUAAUGUAGGUAAGGGAAGUCGGCAAAUUGGAUCCGU